Trachemys scripta elegans is the source of this 1282-nucleotide long non-coding RNA. RefSeq lists it as uncharacterized. Lineage: Eukaryota; Metazoa; Chordata; Testudines; Emydidae. The record is from RefSeq and is a predicted model, not a curated record. The transcript is spliced from 3 exons.
GGCGUCUCUCAUGGAGGAGGGGACAGGGGUGGAGCUCAACGUGACCAAGAGCUGUGACAUCAUGUCUGAAAUCGCUACGGUGACCUUUGAGGACGCUGACGCUACCUACAAGGCUGGAAUCCCCUACACUGGCAAGAUCCCAGCUCCCAAGGGAGGCAUGCAGGGUGCAGGCACAACCAAUGAACACUGGUGGCUAAUGCAUUCAGAUCUCCGGUGCAUGGGGCAUACGCAGAAGUGAAGCACAUAUAGACACCACAUCUCGAAGAACGCUAGUCACUAACAGGUAAGUACCUUCCCAUUGUAUGAUGUGCAGUGCACACGCCUAAAUUUACCCAAGGCAGAUUAUUGUAUUGCAUUCUGGACAGGUGCCAAGCCUAGAAAAGGUGCGUGACACUUUGCUGAAGGACUGUCAUGGAGAAGAUCUCAAGAUGGCAAUCUAGCGCCAUCAAUUUUGAUUUUCUCUCACUUACUGGCCAACCCACACGGAACAAUGUUAUUUCUACACAAGGGCCCGCAGGUGGGGUGAGCACAUCUGGGGGAGGGAGAUGGAGUUUUCCAGCUGAGCACAUAGCAGAAGGGUCUAGAGAGACUCUACUUAAGAAGGGGCGCUGCUCUGUGCAGCCGUGCCGACCAUCACCACAUGCCAGAAGGACUGGCUGGAGACAGACAAGGCGGGAGGGAUUCUGCCCAGCCUGAACUGUUGACAAACUCCAGAGUCAGAGGCAGGGUGAGAUCAGACUAGAGAAGGGUGCUCAUCAGGACAUUUGUUCUUUGGCAAAGAUCUGUAACUCUUGAGCCGUCGAAGUGACUGUGGUUUAGAAAUUCCUUUGUUAAGCCUGAGUUCCUUGCUUGUCUACCACAUUGUCCCUAAGGGUUUAAUCUUAAAGCCCAGCAUGGCCACAGCCCAGAUGGGACUCAGAGGGAAUGUGUGUAAGCAAAGCAAGGAGGCUGGGAGAUCUGAGGCCCUGGUUUCAGGGCCUGGGGGUGGUUGGACUGUAGAGCCCACAUCCCAAGGGAGGGCUCAGUCAAGGGAUCAGACAACCUGUUACCCCUCAGUGCUCACCCCAGCACCCCCAGCUAUUCCAGUCCUGCUGCAACUUCUUCCAAGAUCUGCUAAUGCCCCUCAGUCCUCACCCCAACACCCCAACCCAGCCCUGGGCUUUCCCAGUGCAUCUCAGGACUGGAUUGCAUUGUCCCUUUCUGCUUCCCGUCAACUCUUUAGCCCCUAGUGGGUAACACUCUCCCAGGAGUCUGCGCCCCUGAGUUGUGUGUCUCCCCUUUU